RNAcentral lists this ribosomal RNA (460 nucleotides) under uncultured bacterium. Its description in RNAcentral is "partial 16S ribosomal RNA". It matches the Rfam family "Bacterial small subunit ribosomal RNA", at positions 338 to 795 of the family's 1533-position model. The record is from RNAcentral.
CCUACGGGAGGCAGCAGUGAGGAAUAUUGGUCAAUGGACGAGAGUCUGAACCAGCAAAGUCGCGUGAAGGAUGACUGCCCUCUGGGUUGUAAACUUCUUUUAUAAAGGAAUAAAACGAGGCACGUGUGCCUUUUUGUAUGUCCUUUAUGAAUAAGGAUCGGCUCACUCCGUGCCAGCAGCCGCGGUAAUACGUAGGGUCCGAGCUUUAUACGGAUUUAUUGGGUUUAACGGGAGCGUAGAUGGGUUGUUAUGUCAGUUGUGAAAGUUUGCGGCUCAACCGUAAAAGUGCAAUUGAUACUGGCAGGCUUGAGUGCAGGUGAGGUAGGCGGAAUUCGUGGUGUAGCGGUGAAAUGCUUAGAUAUCACGAAGAACUCCGAUUGCGAAGGCAGCUUACUAAACUGUCACUGACAUUGAUGCUCGAAAGUGUGGGGAUCAAACAGGAUUAGAUACCCGAGUAGUC